UUGACCGGUUCCAAACUGCCUGACGCACAGGCCGCAUAUGAAAGCGCCAACACAUUGCAGCCGACAGUUUUGGGUGGGGUGAAUUUCUCGCUCCACGCAG
Regulatory RNA element from Ahrensia sp. R2A130, 100 nucleotides. It matches the Rfam family "Pyrrolysine insertion sequence mttB". The record is from Rfam. NCBI's taxonomy places the organism in Bacteria, Pseudomonadati, Pseudomonadota, Alphaproteobacteria, Hyphomicrobiales, Ahrensiaceae.